This 240-nucleotide unclassified non-coding RNA is filed under the name soil metagenome. Its description in RNAcentral is "partial contains 5.8S ribosomal RNA, internal transcribed spacer 2, and large subunit ribosomal RNA". The record is from RNAcentral.
AACCAUAGAAACCUGCGGAGUACCUGCGGAGGGAUCAUUACAGAGUUGCAAAACUCCCUAAACCAUUGUGAACGUUACCUAAACCGUUGCUUCGGCGGGCGGCCCGGGUCCUUCCCGGCGCCCCUCGGCCCUCGCGGGCGCCCGCCGGAGGUAAACCAAACUAUUGCAUUGUAUGGCCUCUCUGAGUCUUCUGUACUGAAUAAGUCAAAACUUUCAGCAAUGGAUCUCAGAUCGGAAGAG